RNAcentral lists this ribosomal RNA (253 nucleotides) under uncultured bacterium. RNAcentral's name for it is "partial 16S ribosomal RNA". It matches the Rfam family "Bacterial small subunit ribosomal RNA", at positions 524 to 776 of the family's 1533-position model. The record is from RNAcentral.
GACGUAGGGCGCGAGCGUUGUCCGGAUUUAUUGGGCGUAAAGAGCUCGUAGGCGGCUUGUCGCGUCGACUGUGAAAACCCGCAGCUCAACUGUGGGCUUGCAGCCGAUACGGGCAGGCUAGAGUUCGGUAGGGGAGACUGGAAUUCCUGGUGUAGCGGUGAAAUGCGCAGAUAUCAGGAAGAACACCCGUGGCGAAGGCGGCUCUCUGGGACGGUACUGACGCUGAGACGCGAAAGCGUGGGGAGCAAACAGG